GACGAACCGUACGGAACGUUAUUCGGAAUCACUGGGCUUAAAGGGUGCGUAGGCUGCGCGGAAAGUUGGGUGUGAAAUCCCUCGGCUCAACCGAGGAACUGCGCCCAAAACUGCCGUGCUCGAGGGAGACAGAGGUGAGCGGAACUUAGGGUGGAGCGGUGAAAUGCGUUGAUAUCCUAAGGAACACCGGUGGCGAAAGCGGCUCACUGGGUCUCUUCUGACGCUGAGGCACGAAAGCUAGGGUAGCGAACGGGG
RNAcentral lists this ribosomal RNA (255 nucleotides) under uncultured bacterium. Its description in RNAcentral is "partial 16S ribosomal RNA". It matches the Rfam family "Bacterial small subunit ribosomal RNA", at positions 524 to 777 of the family's 1533-position model. The record is from RNAcentral.